UGGGUAACCUACCCUCGAGUGGGGGAUAACCCGCCGAAAGGCGAGCUAAUACCGCGUACGCUUCCGAUCUUGCGGGAUUGGAAGGAAAGCUGUCCCUUGGGGAUGGCGCUCAAGGAUGGGCUCAUGUCCUAUCAGCUUGUUGGUAGGGUAACGGCCUACCAAGGCAUCGACGGGUAGCUGGUCUGAGAGGACGAUCAGCCACACUGGCACUGCGACACGGGCCAG
This 225-nucleotide ribosomal RNA is filed under the name uncultured bacterium. RNAcentral's name for it is "partial 16S ribosomal RNA". It matches the Rfam family "Bacterial small subunit ribosomal RNA", at positions 118 to 334 of the family's 1533-position model. The record is from RNAcentral.